RNAcentral lists this ribosomal RNA (279 nucleotides) under uncultured bacterium. RNAcentral's name for it is "partial 16S ribosomal RNA". It matches the Rfam family "Bacterial small subunit ribosomal RNA", at positions 506 to 784 of the family's 1533-position model. The record is from RNAcentral.
UGCCAGCCGCCGCGGUAAUACGAAGGGGGCUAGCGUUGUUCGGAUUUACUGGGCGUAAAGCGCACGUAGGCGGAUCGUUAAGUGAGGGGUGAAAUCCCAGGGCUCAACCCUGGAACUGCCUCUCAUACUGGCGAUCUGGAGUUCGAGAGAGGUGAGUGGAAUUCCGAGUGUAGAGGUGAAAUUCGUAGAUAUUCGGAGGAACACCAGUGGCGAAGGCGGCUCACUGGCUCGAUACUGACGCUGAGGUGCGAAAGCGUGGGGAGCAAACAGGAUUAGAUA